UGAAAAGAUUAAGCUGCAAAUUUGGUCAUUCACUAUUGGUUUGGUAGGUAGCGCUGUAUGGUACCGGUACAAACUUCUGCCAAAGUAGAGCUAUCUGAUGAUUACAAAGGAUAUGAACUAGAGUAUUUCUGUGUUCCUCGGCAUUAUGAAGAUUCUCUAGAAUGUGUUUUAAUCCCAAGUGGAUUAAUCCAAGAUAGAAUUGAACGAUUGGCUCGAGAUGUAGCAGCUGACCUUGGAAGGGAACCAUUUGCAGCUCUCUGUGUGCUGAAGGGAGGUUACAAGUUUCUUGCUGAUCUUCUGGAAAAAAUUAAACAGUGUUAUCGCUUUAGUUCUGAAAAUUCUGUUCCAUUUUCUGUAGAUUUUAUCCGUUUACAGAGUUACAAGGAUGAUCAUUCAACAGGAGACGUCAAGGUGCUGGGUGUCGAUGGACUGUCUUUCCUUCAGAACAAGAAUGUGCUGGUAGUAGAAGAUAUUAUUGAUACUGGGAAGACAAUGAAAGUUUUGUUGGAGAUUUUGGAGAAGCAAAAGCCAAAAUCAGUCAAGGUUGCAAGCUUGUUUGUGAAGAGAACAUCUUCAAGCUCAGGGUUGCGACCAGAUUAUGUAGGUUUUGAAAUCCCAGAUAGAUUUAUUGUUGGGUAUGCCUUGGACUACAAUGAGUAUUUUCCAUGUGAAUCAUGUUUGUGUCAUCAGUGAACAUGGAAAACAGAAGUACUCUACAAAGAACUGUAAGAACUUUUGAACAAAAGGAAACUUGUGACUGUGUAAGAGAGAACUGGCAUUAUAGGAAAAGAGAUUUGAAAUGAAUGCAGAAACAUGUCUUACCAUACAAGUACAUGUAUGAAAAGAAAUUACAAUAGUGUAGUUUCAGUGCACUUAAAAUUUAAUCUUUUCUUUCAAGGGUGGUUUUCUUGAUUUUUUUGAGGUGGUGUUUUUUUUUUUCUUUGUUGUUGUUUUUUUUUUCAUGAAAGUGAAAUAUCAACUGGAUACUUCUUCGAUAUUACCCUAGUAUUUUGAUGAAGGUAGAAAAUUAUGAGAAAACUACCUGAACCCAUAAAAACAUUUAGUUAUUUAUUUCAAAAUGAGUCUUCUUAAAUUUAGACAAUUAGAAGCAUGUGGUCUAUGCUUAGAUAAAAUAAAUCUGUUGCUAUUUUUUUUCCAAUCUAAAAACUAGAGUUGAGUGAGAAGUUUUUCUUUGCUGACAUCACAUAUUCAUUUCUAUCAUGAGAUGAAUAGCCAUAACGACUUUUUAGAAAUAUUAUUAAACUUUACCAUUCAAAUAUCACAGCUGUAUGUUGGGGUACUUGUUCUUUAUUUCAAUCUGAGAAUAUUAAUCAACCUAUUUCAUUAUUUCCUGUAGCAAGUUUGUAUCUCUUAUUCAUGUGUUGAUGUAUGUUGAAAUGCUCAUAUCUUGAAGUUCUUGGAACUCGUUAUUUUUGUUUCUCAUAAAAACUGGGAUAAUAGUUUUUUACAUAUUAAUCAUUGCCAUGCCUGCUUCUCAGAUUGUUUACAAUAUUGUAAAAUCAAAGCUCUUUUUUUAGUAAAAAUAAAAAGUAGCAUAAGUUCUGCUUAUAAUAACCAGUGUUAUUAAAAGAUUGUUGCUAUUGUUUUUUAAUAAAAAAACAGAUUUCUUGUUAUAAAAAAAUUUAGAUACAUAUAUUUACUGGUCAUUUGACUUAGGAAGCUGUAGUCAGAGAAGUGUUUCAUAUCUGCCUUAGGUAUAUACAUUGCUACUCUCUUAAUUGAAAUAGUAAACUUAGUUAACAUUUAAAACGAAUUCAAACAUCUCAUGUUGUUAGUUGUGAUUCUGUAUUUAUCUGAAUUAGCAGCAUUUUCAUAGAGAUUUAUGUUAUGAAUAUUCUGUGGGUUAUUCAUUUUUACAGUUAGUAAGUGGAUCAAUGUAGUAUUUCACAGUAAAUAUACUGAGUUUAUUGUAACAUCAUUAUGAACUGAUUUAAUCAGAAUAUACGUCCACUCUAGUUAAAUUUUGGGUAUAGAAAUGGUAAAAUGUUUAUAGCCAGCUUUUUUUUUUUCAGUUUCAGGAAGAAACUUGUUCUUGAGUCAAAAUAUUAAUUUGCAAGUAUUGAGUAAAAUAUACGAGUACAUAUAUGAUGUAUUAUUAUUUUUAGAUUAGUCUUUCUUGUCAAUAUUAAACCUUAGUUAUGGAUAAGUUCAGUAUUAGUAAAUCAUCAAAGGAACAUUUUGAUCUAAUUUGUUUUGUUUUUCUCUCUUAACUCAAUCUUACCCUAGGUUACUUUAGAGUUGUCCUGCAAAUAUUACGUACUUGAAGUGAACGUGUCAAAGUAUAAUGAGUGUCAAUAUAAAAUUAAUUUGCCUUGAGCAUAAUAUCAUUACAUACUUCAGUUUGAGCAAUCAUUUAUUUCUUUUCCAAUAAAAAUACAUGCGAGUUUUGUGGCUUUGCGUUGUUUUUUAAUGAUAGAAAAUGCAAUAUAACAUGUAAAAAUUUAAUUAUCUUGAUAGAUGUUAUUAUUGGUUAAUCAGUUUAUUUAUUUAUUUAUUUAUUUUUUCAGCAGGAUAGUAAAUAACAGUAUGAAGUUAAGUGUUCUGUAAUACAAAUAUUUUAGAGAAAAACGUGUGAACUGGUUUCAUAUAACUUUUUCUCAUUUCAUAUACGUAGAGGUGAUGUUUCGUAUAUAUAUAAUAGGUGACGGAUUUGUUCCAUUUAUGUAACUUAGUGUGAAGAACCGUUUUUUCUGUUUGUUUUUUAUUUGGACAUCCCAAGAAGGCAGAUGUCACAUGUUUUAAUUGUAGCUGGGUUCCAGAUUACCUCAAUUACAAAUGUUGUCCAUAUCAGUUAAGGACUUAUCAAAUAUAAUGAAUAUGUGACCUUUCUAUAGAAACUAAUAGUUGUACUGUGUGCUGAAUAAAGUAUUUUUUGCGUAAUUCUUACAGAGUUUGCAAAACUUUUC
This is an RNA transcript of Limulus polyphemus (Atlantic horseshoe crab), 2927 nucleotides long. It is a transcript of the gene named hypoxanthine-guanine phosphoribosyltransferase-like, with no coding region annotated. Lineage: Eukaryota; Metazoa; Arthropoda; Merostomata; Xiphosura; Limulidae. The transcript has 9 exons. The record is from RefSeq and is a predicted model, not a curated record.